UACGUAGGCAGCAAGCGUUGUUCGGAGUUACUGGGCGUAAAGGGUGCGUAGGCGGCCGUGUAAGUGUGGUGUGAAAUCUCCCGGCUUAACUGGGAGGGUGCGCUACAGACUGCAUGGCUAGAGUGUGGGAGAGGAAAGUGGAAUUCCUGGUGUAGCGGUGAAAAUGCGUAGAUAUCAGGAGGAACACCGGUGGUGUAAACGGCUUUCUGGACCAUAACUGACGCUGAGGAGCGAAAGCAUGGGGGAGCGAACAGG
This 255-nucleotide ribosomal RNA is filed under the name uncultured bacterium. RNAcentral's name for it is "partial 16S ribosomal RNA". It matches the Rfam family "Bacterial small subunit ribosomal RNA", at positions 524 to 776 of the family's 1533-position model. The record is from RNAcentral.